Long non-coding RNA from Schistocerca nitens (vagrant locust), 2500 nucleotides. RefSeq lists it as uncharacterized. Lineage: Eukaryota; Metazoa; Arthropoda; Insecta; Orthoptera; Acrididae. The record is from RefSeq and is a predicted model, not a curated record. The transcript has 4 exons.
GCAUUAACAAGUACAGUCGAUCCCUUGAGCCACCGCCUUACGUGUUAAUUUAGCUUGGACGCGUAGUACAAGGAAAGUUACUAAGGAAUUCGAGCGACUAUGGAAAUAACUGUCAGAGACCGGUAUUCUCCUCUGGCAGUUAUCGUUAUUGGCUCGUAGUUCUAGUUCUCUGGCAGUUAUCGGGCUACCACCACAGGUAACCUGGAAGCUGGUAACGGAAUAACUGUGUGUGUAGACGUUCCUGACUCGGUGACUCCAGUUACAGGUCGUAGUUCCAGGUGAUAUUUCCAGAGAGGAUAGUAACUGGAGCGAACAAAUAUUUUCGUACUGCUACGGAAACGACGGUGGGCCAUCGGGGAGAGGGGAUGGCAAAUAACGGGAAUCUAUCGUCUCAUUUCUCUGCAAUUCUUGGUGUUCCGGAACAGGUGUCACCAUUUUUCCGGCCUUUGGUUGCGUUGCAGGGUAUUGACUUUUGUUCCGCGUUGUUGUUUUUCUUUGUGUUGUUGAUAGUACUACCAAUAGUUGCCAACAUGAAGAGGUCGAGGACAAGCGAAAUGUGGUCAUAUUUCGAAACUCUUGAUCGAGAGUUUGCGAAAUGUACUUUGUGCGGUAAGAAAUUAUCGUACAAAUCGACGACGACGAAUUUACAAAAACAUCUUCAGAAAUCACAUUUAAUUGUGAAUUUCUCUUCACAAAGACCUUCGGAGCUAGAUUUGGGUGAAACCCUUCCUGUAGAGGUGAUCCUUGGCACCAGUAGUGUGGAAGAGGAGCGAGAGGCACACCAACACCAGCAGAUGAGUCUCCGUUUAAUACUUGGGAUAUUAUAACAGUAAGUUAUAGCUCCAGAAGUCAGUCACCAGCAGCAGAUGUCACACAGUUAUAAAAUGGGAAACUUGAAGAAUAAGCUCCAGAAGUCAGCAGCAGCAGCAGCCGCUGUCACACAGCCAUAAUGCGAGAAGCUUGAAGAAUAAUGUGGUAGUGGUUUGGAUACAUAUGACAUAUUUCACCUUCAGUUUAAAAUUGAAGUUUGUUUAUAUUGGCAGGUGGUAACUCAGAGCUCUUUGUUCCAGUUAUGGCUCCGAUAGUCUUCGCAGCAAAGGUUACACAGUCCUAUAGAGGCAAACUUGAAGUAUAAAGUAAUAGUGUUUUGCAUACAAUGGCAAACUUGACCUUUCGCUUAAAAUGGAGGUACAUUUGCACUGAGUUUGUUAUGACACGUGAAUGGAUUACCAGUGAUGUAUAUGUAAAUACUGGAAUUUGUAACUUAGAACUUAAUUUCAGUAUCGGCUUUGAAAUUUGGUCACUGCAUACAACUAUAUUAUCUUUCAUGUUGAUAGCAGCAAUCAUCAGAUUGCAAUCCAGUUAAGUACCUGUGAGGCAUGAGAUGUCAAAAAUACUUGUGUGUUAUUGGUAGCCUGUGUCAAGGCAUGUGGCACCUCAAAGUUUGUAAGUACAGUAGCAUUUUGUUUCCUGCUUUACUUAAAAAUUGGUAGCUGUAGCACCCAUUCUGACAUUCAAUUAUUUUGAAUUUCAAGUUUCUUAGAAUGAUACUGACAUCAGUUUGUUAACACUAAUCCGUAUAUUAUUGUUAAUAUAUGCUGCUAUUUUCACAUCUUGUGCUCAAUACUAAAUUUCAUUUGCAAAACACGGAAGUUUUCCUAUCUUUGUGGUGGAACACAACAAAUUCUCAUAAUUUUGCUAGUUUGUAUUCUAGAAAGGGUGCCAGAAAUGGAAGAGUAUAAUUUUUAUUAAAUCGGGCAUUAAAUGUAAGUAGGUUGGAGUACAGAAAGGGUGCAACUGGCCUUCCCCACUGUAGCCUGAUGUGCUCCAACAUGCAUUUGUACUGAUGUGCAGGUGAUUAUAACACUAGUAUCAAACUGCAUGGUACCCACUUACUAAUGUGAUCUACCCUUGCAUGAUCUUCUGCAGACAGCAAGAAAUCCGCUACUGCUCUUACUACCUGUCCAACAGUUGUGGAGGAUUUUUUCCCCUUGGUGCUUGACAUGACAUGUUUUGCUCUCUGCCCUUAAAAUCUCAAUUAUUGUUACAUUUUUCAUCCCUUUUCUAUCUCCUGAUGGACCUGUAUUGAUUAAAAAACUAAUCACUGCAGAGGUGAUUGUAGAACUUUUGCUAGUGGCAGUGUGGAGGGGCUCCACUCUUUAAAAAAUAAAAUUACAUUGUGGGACAUGGAAUUAUUAUUAUUAGAUGCUUUCAUGUACAUUUUGUUUACUGAAAAAGUCAGUCAUUAUCUGAGGUAUUUAAAUGUUAACUUCAAAUCUAAAACUGCAUCAAAAGAUAAAUUUCAGUAAGUCUUUAACAAGUUUCAGUAUCUUGCUUCACAUGCUGGACCCUCCAACUAUAAAAAACAGUGUUUUGCAGAGAACAGCUAUUCAGAUGUUAACAUCCCAGAAUUUGUGUAGAAGAUAUCCCUUACAUUGUUAGUUUCAUUGUGGUCACACUCUACAGUGUAGUGUUAUCAGCAUACAUAUAGAAGUUUGAA